RNAcentral lists this long non-coding RNA (384 nucleotides) under Rattus norvegicus (Norway rat). Its description in RNAcentral is "long non-coding RNA NONRATT018954". The record is from RNAcentral. Lineage: Eukaryota; Metazoa; Chordata; Mammalia; Rodentia; Muridae.
CCAGAGAAGCUGAGCAUUGCAGAGAGCAGGGUGAAAGAGAUGGGCAAAGAGAAGACCAGCAGAUUCGGAAGGACCGGGGAAUGGGGUGAGGGUCGCUGUGAGGAGACAUGUGGAUGUGGUCAGGCCUCCCCAAUUUCAAAACACCCCAGUUCUCGCUCAGAACUACUCUGUUUUUACGAAGCACACGGGAGGGAAAAAAGCUGCUCAGAAAAACAAAUGUUAAGUAGAGACGGAGGAGCCGGCUCUGCAGCCUGCCCAGAACAGGCAGGAGCAUGCGGCACUCAGAUUGUCUGGGCCCUCAGACCUACAGUCCUGUUGCUAAGGACUGAGCUUUCCUUCUUGCCGGCAAAAGAAAAUAACAACACUGAAAGAAAGAAAAAAAAA